This is a long non-coding RNA of Girardinichthys multiradiatus, 3989 nucleotides long. RefSeq lists it as uncharacterized. Lineage: Eukaryota; Metazoa; Chordata; Actinopteri; Cyprinodontiformes; Goodeidae. The transcript has 3 exons. The record is from RefSeq and is a predicted model, not a curated record.
CCCCGCGUUCCAACAAACAGACCUCUUCCACAAAGGUCCCCAGUGGAGCUGGAAGGAGAGACAAAGAAGCUAAGGUCUCUUGCUGGCAAGAAGACAUAACUUUUCAAACUGGAUCCAGAGUGACUAUGAUCACAUGCAACAAAGUUAAGUAAUGAUUUGCUGUUCGAGUAUCAGGCAUUCAUUCAUAUAAAGGGUGUAAUAAGACAAGCUUGACUUGGCUUUUCUUCUGAGGCCUCCAGAAGCGGAUUUUCCCCACGGCCUGGAAAAGGAGGCUGGGACUGCAUCGCACGCCUUGCUCUAUGUCCAGCUCUGUCGGUGUAUUUUUCCCUCUGGACAUGCAAAAAUGGAUCCACACAUGAGCAGAACUUCUGCUUUGACAGACUUUUCAGUGCAGUUUCUCGUGCAAAACAGGAACUUACAAAUCCAGAAGAAUUAUUCUCCGCUACAAGGUGACUUUCUAAAGUCGCCCCGCCAGACAAGGUAAGGUAGCAAAAUUGUUAAGAUUGUGGAUAGUGUACGUUUGUCACCGAAAUUUUUUUUUUCAAUUGGAUUUGUUAGUGAUAAUAAAAAGCAAAUUCAAAGGCUAUAUUAAAUAGUUAAUGAAGUAAAUUGUCAAUUAAUAGUUAAUUAAUUUGUUAAUAGCCGAUUAGGUUAAAUAAAGGCUAAGUUCUAUUUGAAAUUUAUUGGCGCUAGAACCUGUCUGCCUAGCAACACUGACACUGGCGCUAUGCCUGGUCUCGACAUUUUACAUUUUUUUCUAUUAUGUUAAAUUGAUUACCUCAGCGGUUAUAAAAUGAUCACAAUCUUUUUUUUCUUUUAAUCACAGGCAUAUUGAAAUUCACAUUCGCUUGCCACAUACUUAAACAUUUUUGCAAAUCUACAACACCCAGACUAAGCCACAGGUAACCAAUAACUUCCCCCAGCACCAGGUUCCCCUUAGUGUAGGAAGGGCCAAAAGAGCAAAUUCCACAUAGCAUCCAAACUUUCAAGCAAUUUGAGGGAAGAAAGCUUAAUCUACAGACAUCCUUACUUCCCAAUUCACAUGUUCUAAUGGGUCUAUUACUAAUGUGCAUUUAGUAGACACUCCCAGAUGUUCUUGGUCCAUGUCCAGGCUGGCGCUGUUUUGGUGCCAGUAGAAAAACGUAUUCAAUAUUAGACAGAUUUUUUUAUUUUUAUUGAUUUGAUAUGUCUUAGACUGCAAAAGCGAUUUAAGAAAAGAAAUGAAGUUGUUUAUAUGUCCUGGCUAUAUUUUGUGUUUUCACUGUUUGUUCUUUGAAUGUAUAGUUUCAUAUGUACGAGCUACCGCACCCUAUUGGCGGUCAGACGUCUCGGAGUCCCUCCAGUACUUGGUCCCCAGAAGCGAUCACACACUUUAUCUAACUCUGACUCUUAAAGGAACGACUCUCAAACAGUUUCUAACUUUCAGCUCCUUUAAUCCAAAUUAGAGGAACAAUUACAGAGAUCAGCGGUGAGGCUCCCGUCUCGGUCGACUGUGAAAGACGUAUAUCAGAUGAAAGAUGUGAUGACUCAGUAGGACUUGGAGAAAGGUCCUAGAUUUUUAAGUUCUGCUGCUGGUCUAUAAAGCACUGAAUGGUCUAGGAGCAGGAUCCAUCAGUGACCUCCUGGUCCAUUAUGAACCUACUAGAUCCCUCAGGUCAUCUGGAUCCAGUCUGGACCAGUUCCCAGAGUCAGAAGCAGACCUGGAGAAGCUUUGUUCAGCUUCUGUGCUCCACAUGUCUGGAACAAACUCCCAGAAAGCCUCAGAUCAGCUGAAACACUCAAUUUGUUUAAAUCCAGGUUGAAGACCCACCUGUUCUCAGCUGCAUUAUUAAUAUUCACAAUUUCAUGUCUGCACAGUUUCUACUAAGCUUAACAAUUUGAUCUAAUGUCUUCUAUUUCAGAAAUUGUUAAUCAUGCUGCUUAUUUUAAAUGUACUUUUUAAUGCUCUCUGUACCUGGCUUUAAAGUUUUUAUAUAAAUUGUAUUGUACAUCAAAUGUUCUAGACAAAUACAUUUUCCUUGUCUCUAGGUUUGUAGAGGGCUUCAAGACUCUUGGGCUACUGAAAGAGCUCCAGAAAAACCCAACUGUUUUUCUUGAUAUGUUCGUGUGUGAGGAGAAACCCCUCACAGCCAGGGACUUGAGUAGCCUUUUCACAGUGGCCUAUUUUGCUCAAGGCAGCAAUCGGCGAGCUCUGGAGAACCAGUUGGUAUGCUUCUGGAGAGACUGGGUGAUCGAUAUUGAAGAAGAGGAUGAUGGUCCACUCUCUCAAGGAAGUUCUGGUGUUCACAUCUGGAGCUUCUGCCAUCCCUCCACUUGGCUUUCCCUGCCAGCCUGAAAUUCAGUUUCUGCAUGACACCAAGAAAAUUUACCCAGAAGCCAAUACUUGUGUUGUUGUUCUGUAUUUGCCGCUGCACUCCUCCUAUGAGGCUUUUAAAACUUACAUGACGGAGGGAAUAUUGCAAGCUCCAACCUUUGGAGUUUCUUAAAUUGUCACGAAUGUGACAGUGAAAGGUUACACUGAAAGCUGACUGAAACUGGCCAGUGUUGCAUGUUUGUUCAGUGUUUUUUUUAUUUUAUUUUAUUUUUUACCUAAUUGUAAGGCAAAACAUGGUUUUACAAGUUCUGAAAAUUACGCCAAUGUUUAAAAAACUACUGUUCAUGUGUUAAUGGAUUUUACAAGAAACCUUUAGCCGCUUCUGAGGAUAAAAUAUCACAAGUCUGUGCCAGAGACUGAUUUCAGGUUCUGUCAUUUUGAACUUUUGAAAUGGUUUCACAUUAUAACAACUUCAAAAGUUGAUAAAUUUCUUCCCAAGACUACCAUAUGUUCUCUUCUAUAUUUGUCUUCACGGCAAUAAAGCAAAUACUGAGAAAAAAAUUAUUUUCAUUCAAUCAGCCAUUGUUUAACACCAAAGAUUUAAUCUUUACAAACAGAUGUAGAUAGCUAAUCACACAUGAGUACUCCAUUGAGGAAUAAUCUGACUGUUGCAAACAAGAAUGGUCAUAUUGCAAUGGUCUUUCAAGGAAUCCAAAUAAUAGUUCGAUACAACAUACCGUAAAUAUGUGACCAACGCAAGGGGUAAACAUAAAGAAACUGAAUUCACCAUGGCCACAGCUGACAAAAAACAUAUUUCAGCCAAUUGUAGGGAGAAGUUUUUACUCAAAUAUAGGGGUCAUAUGAAAAUUUGUUUUUUUAAAAGAAGGGGAAUGCUGCUGCUGAGGGAGAAAAUCAUCAUAGAAAAAAACUCUGAAAUUUUAUCUCCCCACAAACAGGGUGAUGGAGGGCCACAGAAUCUGAGUAACUGAAAAAUACCAUAAUUCAAUAGCCUAUUAACCAGGAAAUGAUAUAUCUGUUUGUGUUAUGAAAAAUAUAUAUAUAUUUUUUUUUAAUUUAUUUUUUUAAGCUAUUAAAAGACACUAGAGCAUACUAGAACAUUGCAAUUUUCCUUUGGAAUACUCCCCUGCUCUUAGAACUUUUGUCAGCCAAGUCAUAAUGUUUGAAGAUACUUAAAUACAAGGAUAGUGGACUUCUUUAGAUGACAUUGGAGACAGUUUUCCUUUCACACAAAAGGCUUUCUCAGUUCUGACCAUUGGGGACUUGUCAGUUUGUGUUAAAAUGCCUUAAAAUAUCCAUCACUAUAAGGAAGAGAGACAAAGUCUUUUGAGGAUUGUCGCUCAGUAAGGAUUAACACAUUUUUGAAGGACCAGAAGAAUGUUAACGGGUGUUGACUUUUCUUUGAACACCAAUUUCUUUUUCAUUUGAGUUUGUUUUAAGCAUUUUUGUGCAUCAUGAUGCUACAAAAGGUUUCUUAUUAUGUGGAUUAUUUUAAGUCAGCCCAAAUUAUGCUUUAAUUGGAUCCAAGUAUUAAGUAUCCUGCAACUGUAAAACUGAAUCAUUAAAAUAUUAAAAAGUGUGAUGUUUAAUAAUCAACCUGAUAAGUCACAUGUUCCCAUCAAUAUGCCACAAACUGUUGGGGUAUGGUACAUGGUAA